UGGUGAUGAAGGCAAUUUAGCUGUAACAUCAUUCUCCCCACUGAGUUCUAGAGCAGAAUUGGCUGAUCUAAUUGGUGGGCUGCUUUCUUCCUCCCUCACCACUCAAUGUAUAUAUGUUCUGAAGAGGAAUGCUUAGUAUAAGGGGGUGACAUCCCUUCUGUAGUCAAAGAUCUAGUUGAUUUAGGAAAG
RNAcentral lists this small nuclear RNA (189 nucleotides) under Loxodonta africana (African savanna elephant). RNAcentral describes it as "7SK RNA". It matches the Rfam family "7SK RNA". Rfam says of the family: 7SK was discovered as an abundant small nuclear RNA in the mid-70s but a possible function has only recently been suggested. Two independent studies have found that 7SK RNA binds the CDK9/cyclin T complex (known as elongation factor P-TEFb). Lineage: Eukaryota; Metazoa; Chordata; Mammalia; Proboscidea; Elephantidae. The record is from Rfam by way of RNAcentral.